This 363-nucleotide unclassified non-coding RNA is filed under the name Thinopyrum intermedium. RNAcentral describes it as "non-transcribed spacer". The record is from RNAcentral. Lineage: Eukaryota; Viridiplantae; Streptophyta; Magnoliopsida; Poales; Poaceae.
UUUUUAAUUUUUUUUGGCGCCUCGUGACAAACAUAAUGCACAUGCGCGAUACAUAUUAACCCCGUUAUCUUAUUUUUGACAUUUGCGAUAUGUUUUAGCUCGCUGCUCAUUACUCGCGCGUCUAGGGGCGGCGUUGUGGCGCGAAAAGCGCGUUCUCAAAGGGGUGGAAAAUACGUGUUGCUGCGGUAUAGAGGGAGGCGAGGAAACCGUGAUAAACUCGUCUCCGUAGUUGAGCGAGAGAGUUAGUAUGGGGCAUUAUCCAUUAUUAGGCAAGGGUUGUAAAGGUAGUAAAACUGUACAAUCGUCUUUGUUGUGGACCUGGUAGUGGCAAGCAUAAGGGACGAAGACCGGGGGUAUCAUGUC